GGGACAGGGGGGUCUCCGCCCCGGCGGCGGUGCCUGUCCCCGUGGUCGCGCACACGCGCGGCCUUGUGGUUGUCGCUCGGGGGUGAUCGCCG
RNAcentral lists this small RNA (92 nucleotides) under Streptomyces albireticuli. RNAcentral describes it as "che1 RNA". It matches the Rfam family "che1 RNA". The record is from Rfam by way of RNAcentral. Lineage: Bacteria; Bacillati; Actinomycetota; Actinomycetes; Kitasatosporales; Streptomycetaceae.